AAUAUAUUGUAUGAAGAUAAAUUUUGAAUAUCUUAUCAUUCCAAUAUAGACUUUUCAAACCAUAUCUUUAUUCUCACAUUCCAAAUAUUCAUUGUCAAACUAAUUUCUUUUUAAACUGUAUAUUCUUCAUUAUGUAAAUGAAAUGCCUUAAAAGAUUGCCGAAGUUAACAAUUUAAAAGCAUUAGACUUACAUACUAUUUUACAUUUAUUUUUUUUCUAUCAAUUCAUUUUGAAAUUUGUCUUCAUAAAUUUAAAAACGUUUCAUAUCAAUAUCGCCAAAUAUUUGUUUGCAUUUGAUAUUUGCAUUUUAGCAUCUAAAUUGUGUAAUAUUAAUAAAAUUUAUCAUUAAUGUAAAAAAUUAAACUUUUAAUGGAAUUUAUCAUAUAUUUUAUUGCAAAAACUAGGGAGAAAAUAAAAUAAUAUUUAUUCCUUUGUAGGAAACUGUUGGUAACAUUAGGAAAACAAAUAUUUGAAGAUGGCAACUAUUAUGAAAUUUUGUCAAUUGUGUAAGAGUUAUCACAUUAUGUAAAAUCCAUAAUAGAAAUAGCAUGAAUACUGUGAUUAUUUAAAACUUUCUUGUAUACAAAUAUUCUCACAGAAAUCAGUGGAUGUAUGUAUGACAAAUAAAACUGUUGUGCAUAUCAUGUGGGCGUAAUUUUCCUUAAUUUCAAAGUGAAGUUUGUUAUUAGAUGAAGUAAUAAAGACUGAUAAUGAAGAGCCAGUAUGAAUUCAAGACAUUUUUAGAGGUUGAAAGAGAAUGAAAAUACAAAUGUUCUGGAUUUGAAUAAAUUUAAGAUCUAUAAGGAAGAUUCUUUAUUUUAUUUUCAUUUUAUCUUUAUUUCAAUUUUUUUCCUAUUUAUAACUGCUUAUUUAUCUUCUUUUAGCAGAGAAAUAUAACUCACUAAUUAGAGUUUAUAUACUUCUGAGAUGAACCUCUAUUCAAUUACAAUAUUAAUAUUGAAAUUAUAAAUGGCUACAGUGAUGUAUGGUAAUCAGAAAUUAAGUGUUAUCAAUCAUCAAUUAAAAAAAAAAAUGCACAAUUAAUUUAAUCAGGAAUAUAAAUAAUAGCUAUCAUUGUUGGAGUGGAGUACUGAAAACUUAUUUCAAGGAAGUAAGAACUGGCUUCAGUUUUGAUUGUAGUUUUAAUGUUUUGUGGCUGUUUUUAUAACAAGAUGUCUUAUGACAAUUUCCAGAUUACUAGGUUACCACUUAACUCUUCAUGUCAUAUGUUCAAGUUGACCCUUUGAAAUUCUCUCCCCAGACCAUUCACUUUAAGUGAAAAUUACUGGUAUGAGGGCUAAGUAAAAAUAGAAAUAGGUUGAUUUGAACCUGUACCACAAGCUUGACUUGCAGGCAACAUAACAUCGUCAUAUAAUGCUUAUACACAAAAUGGUUAUUCUUACCUUAAAUCUAAAACAAAUGGAAAACUCUGAUUAAAUUUCACUUAUUUUAGUUGUUAUGAGUUUACUAACUUGUUGAAUAGUCACUAAGUAUCAAUACAAGAAAUAUUUAGUUUUAAGUAAAGUCAAGCUUAGUUAUAACUUAAUUGUUUCUUGAGAACUAGAAUUUCUGAGUGCAUGAGUUUUUGCAAUGCUCUAACACUCUGUUCUACCUCAAAUUGCCAAUGACUAUACUGCCCCCCCAGACCAACUUGUGUCUACUACAAUACUUCAACACAUCUUUCCUUCUCUCCUUCCUUCUACACUCACCAACCUUAUUGUCUUCACACCAUGUAUCUGUACCAUCCCAUUUCCUCUCAAGCUCUAUAAAGCCAACAAUGCUGGUCACCUCAUUGUUUCUGCUUGCAACUGCCCUACAAAACCUACUUCUACAUACAUGAACCAACUCUUUUUACUAUUGAUACUAUCCUUUUCCUUCUCUUCUGGUCCUCCUGGCCAAUUCCAAUCACUUUUUGCUGUUGAUACUAUCUCCUCACCAUAAUUCCCUUCUUGUAUUAAUGGACACAUAGUCCUCACAUUCUUUCUGGACUAUUGCACUAAACUCAAACUUGGCAUCCUUUACUCUGCCUCACUGAACUAAUCUUUCUUUUUCAUCAACUUCUUUUUGUGGGUGUUUUAAUAUCAUAUUAUUGAGAUGAUCAUGGGCACUAAUUAUGCCAACCUUUUGGUUAAUCUGAGGCCUAGAUCUUAAUUUGUUUCAUUGAUUCUAUCCCAGAAUUCUCUUCCGUCAUCUAUAACAUCUUACUCCCAUCAACUCUGAUAUCUCCAUGUCAUUUGACAACCCCAACCUCUCUACCUAUGCCUUUUACAAACUUACUGUCCGUACCUCAAUUUCCUUGCAUCCUACCUCACUCACAUUAAAUCAGUUAUCACCUGCUCACAAUUCUGUCACUUCUGUCUGUUUAGACUCUUUCAAGGCUUAGGCCCUUUCAAGGCUUAGAUCAAAUGAUCUACUUUUCAACUUACAUUGUUACCUCAACCAGCUAUCAAUGUACUUCAACUAUUGACUAUACUUCUAUCAUUUUUACCUGUACCCACCCCAUCAACAAUAUUUCCUUCACCUCUCAUCCUUCCAUCUGACCUUCCUGGUACACCAUUCCACAACCCAAUCUCUCCAGCACACUGUCCUCUUCAAUGUCUGUCUUCUCUAAUCUGGCCCUGUUCCUGCUUCAAGAUCUUUCUCUUCAUACAGAUCAUUACUACUCUGCAAUGUUCCAGAUCCACUUUCUAUGUCACUGACUGCUUUACUUACACUUCCAAAUAUGUUAUCUGUUGUAUCAAAUGUUAACUUUUUGGCAUAUUAUAUAUAAGAGAAACUGGUUGGAAGUUAGUUGAUCAUUUUAGAGAGCAUUUGUUGGAUGCUUAACAAAAUAGUAACCGAUCACUUAAAAUCGUUGCCUACUACUUCAAUACUGCAAACCUCCUUCAUUUUACUGUUUUUAAUUUCUUACCAUCACAUUCUCCUGCACCUAAACUCUUUUGUGAACAACUGUUAAUUUUCUGUUUAGAUACACUACAUUCUUAACUCUCAGUAAUUGACCAGCUUUCUUCUAACCCAUACACCUAUAUUUUCACACUGAUAAACAUCCACACAUCUUCACACGACCCCUUUUUCAAUCCACAACAAUACAUACAUGAUACCUUGUGUAUUUUAAAAAAAAAAUUACAUCCUAUUAUGUCUAUCACCACUAUUAUAUCAGUAUCACUGCUACUACUGCCAUCUUUUACACAAGAAUACUAACUCACUUGCUCAUUCUCUCUCUCUUUAAUCUUACACAUACACACAGCUAACUCCUUAAGUAUAUGACUGAUAUAAACCUACUACUUAAUCAAUACACUCUCCUUCUUAGCAACCACUUGCCUCCACCUACUUCUGUUUCACCAUUAUUGACCAUGCUGGCUCUAUAAACACAUUUUUUUGUUCUCCAACUCAAUUUUUUUUCUCUUCUUCAAAAUGUUGAUAAUUCUUCCUUUCCUUCAGUGGUAUUUCAUUGUACUGCUGUUUGUUCUUUGUUGAUUGCUUUUGUUCAUAAAUUGCCUUCUGGAUGGGUUGUGAAUUCAUAUUCAAUGCAGGCAUCUCACAGUGUAUCUGGGCAAGACACUUCAUUUUGCAUUGUUUCAGUUUAUGUCACGAAGAAGAAUAAGCAAGUUAACAGUACUUGCUUGGGAAUACUAUUUCUCUUUUUCAUUCACUAGAUGCUACACAAACUGGAAACAUUGUCCUUAUGAAACUUGGUGGUUCGUGAAAUUGUAAACUUUUAUUCCUGUUGUGUGUGUUUGAGUGUGUGCAUACAUAGUUUUGUUAAGCCAUAAAUAUUAUAUGGAAGAACUUGUCUUCCAGCUCAAAUCUUGGGUAUUGAGAACAGAGAAAUUUUUCAUGUUAUCAUUGUAUUACUUGAUUCUGUUGCUUCUGUUUUAUCACAUGAAUAGAACAGUUUGUUAUUGUUUUGUAAGAAUAUUGUUUUACUUUUCCUUAUAUUUUGAUUUUAAGAUGUAAACCAAAACAAAGAGGAAAUCAAAUGUUUUCAGAUUUAUUUUGUUCUUUUCAAGGAAAGGAUAUUUAAAAAAAUGUCUUUUGUGCAUUUUAAUAAUAAUAAUAAUCAUUCUCCCUCAUGACACUUAUAUAUAUAUAUAUAUAUAUAUAUAUAUAUAUAUAUAUAUAUAAACGCAGUCUGUAAAGUAAUUUUAGGACUAUAGUUUAAGAUUAUGAAAAUAUUAUGAAAUCAGCAGCUAUACUAAAGCUACAUUCAUUUAAUUGUGUCUCAUCAUCUAAAGUGUAGGUGAUGUGUGAUUUUUUGUUAAAGAAAGGACGCAAUAUACAUUGUAGUCUCUCAUGAUUAUGACUCAAAGAGCUUUUGAUCAAUGGUUUAUUUGAUCACUACUGACAUGGGGCUAAAUGACAAGUAUUUUGUCUUACAAGUGAUGCUAAUGUAAAGAUUUUGAUUAAAAUUUGAGAUGGUGUAAAAAGAAAAUAUUAAAUUUAAUAUUAAUUAUUCUAUUUAAAAUACUUUUUUAGGUUUUAAUUGUAAUAUUUUAUUCUCUUGAAAAUAAUUAGUAUGUAUAGUAUUGAUGAGUAAAGUAUAAGACUGACUUUAGAUGAUAGAGGAAUAUAUAGUCAAUCUAUAUCUGUCCAAUAUAUUCAAUAGCUUUUCUUUAUUUUCAUAUCAUAAGCUGUGAGUUUCAAAAAUAAUCACCUGUUAAAUUAUUUAUUUGGAAUAACUCAAACUAUUUUUCACUUCGUGUUUACUAAAAUAUUUCAGUUUAAUAAGAAUGUUAACCAAUAAAAUUGUAUACCACCCCUAUUAUAUGCUAAUGUUAAAUUGUUAAUCCUCUGAAGUUUCUUAUAUUCCAUUUGGUUGAAACGUUUCCCCCCUAUUUUCUCUGUCAGAAAGAAUUCUUUGCCGAUCAGUUUUGCCAAAAUGGAUUUGAUUUGAAGAAACUGCCAGAUUAUUAAUUGAAAAAAAAUUUUUUGCUGCUUCUUUUUAUUUAUUAUUAUUAGUAUUUUAUUAUUAGUUAUCAUUAUUUAUUAUUGUUUUUACUAAACACAGGUCCAGAACUAAUUGAUUUCUCUUGUAAUUGGCCUCUGUUUCAAUUAUUUUUAAGUGACACAAUAUGUACAUAUGUAACUUGUGUGUGUGUGUGUGUGUAUUUAUAUAUGCAUAAACAUACAAUCAUAUGCCCUCAGUAGUGUAGGCUGAAACUCAGGACACAAUUAUAUCAUGUAAUAACCUGUAUAACAAAACUUGUUUAGGGUUAAAGGAUUAAAGACCUAGAUGUGUCUAAGCCAUAGGUUCUAUCAUAUUCAGUGAUUUUGAUCUGAAGCAUGGUUCUAAAUAUAAAAAUCUUUAAAACACACAUACAAAGACAAAAUAAAUGCAAACACUCCAAAUCAUUGCAGUAUAUUAUUAAUGAUUUUGAGCAUUCAAGCAUUUUUUUUUUAUUGUAUGUAAAAUUACAAUGGAAGAUAUUGUCCCUGUUUUAACUAAGUUAUCAUCACCCUAACAUCUCCUUGUCUUUUGAAUUUUAUUCAAUUAAUUUCAUAAAAAAAAAAUUCUUUCUUUCAAAUCCUUCAUGGAUCAGUAAUCUGAAUGCCUGUUAAAUACUACACUUAGUUUAAUUGAAUAAACAAUCACUCCAAAACAUGUAGCCGUUUGCUUAUGCCACAAAGUAUUUCUUAUUUAGUCAUGGAACCUAAAAUUAUUGGGAAGAUGAGAAUUCUUUCAAUUCUUCAAAACAAUGGAUAUAUAACAGUUUCACAUUUCUUUAAACAGUUCUUUGCAUUCUAUUAAAUUCUAGAAAAUUUUUUGUGUUGCAGGGUUUGGAUAGUAAAGGGCAGACAAAGCAGUGCUCCUGGGCAUGGUCUGCUUCUCCACCUUCAGAGAUGGUUGGACUAGUCUUGUAUCUCGUCUGACCAAAACAGCUUUUGACCAUUCUUUUUUUUGUUCUCGGGUGGUUGAGUAUCUUCUACUGAAUCCAUGAUGUUUCAGAGCCAGGAGUGAGGUCUUCAGCAGUGGGGAUUUCCAUGUCAGUUGGAUGAAGGGCAUUCUCAAGCUUUUCCAUCCAGAGCUGGAGUCUGGAUUUUGCUUGAGAUGUUGUUAGAGGCUGGAUAUGACAGAGGAAGUUUUUUGUUGACUAUCAUUAGGUCAGGAGUUCACAACCAUGGAGGAUGUGGUAUUCAUUACUGAUAGCCUUUGCCAUUUUGACUUAACUGACCACUCCUUGACUGAUAUCAGUAGAGGCCACACAAGUAGGACAAGCAGGUUGUUUGUGUCAGUGGGUUACUUAUAAACAGUGAUUAGGUGGCAGGUGUUUUUCAAGGUAGAAGCAUUCAUAUUUCAAUCCUUCUCAUGUAAUACUUGGUAUUACCUGCAAAUUCUAUCAAACACUUUGAGGCUGAACCAGGGAUGAGAAUUGUUAAUUUCUUUUGAAAAGCCAUUUGUGUUCUUGAAAUUUAAAACUCAUUUCUAAAUGUACUAGUGCAUAGGUAUCAGAGUAGUAGUAAAUUUGGAAAUGAAUUUUAAAUUAUAUGUAUGCACAUAUAUAUGUGCAUGUAUAAUACAAUGUGUGUGUGUAUAUAUGUAUGUAUAUAUGAUAUGUAUGUAUAUAUGAUAUCCAUGCAUACUAUGUGUAUAUAUAAUGUACACACACACGUGUAUAUAUAAUGCACACACACACGUGUAUAUAUAAUGUACACACACACACACAUGUAUAUAUAAGGUACACACACACGUAUAUAUACAAUGUACACACACGUGUAUAAUGUACACACACACAUGUAUAUAUAAUGUGUACAUACACACACGUGUAUAAUGUACACACACAUACAUAUAUAUAUAUGUAUAUAAUAUAUGUAUACAUAUAUAUACGAUAUAUAGUGCAUAUGUAAACAGUACAUAAUGUAAAAUUUUCUUUCAGUCUGUUACAGGCGUUUAUUUUAGCAAGCAUAAUUAACUGUGCAAACAAGGGAACUAUAAGGCAUGGAAACAUCUAGUUGGCACUUUGUUGUCUGUACCAUCCCCAUUGUUCUGCUGUUAUAACAAUAUUUAGGAUCAAUCUAAAAAACAUUACACAGCAAAUAAUAUUUUUGAAAGAAUUUGAUACAAAGUAAACCAAAGCAUUUUUAAAUGGCUGUGUCCUAAGUUUUAGCCUACAGCUAUGAGUAUUAGUAAGGUGUGCAUAUGAGUAUGUAUAUAUAUAAUAUGUAUAUAUAUAAUAUAUAUAUAUAUAUAUAUAUCUAUAUCUAUAUAAUAUAUAUAUAUAUAUAUAUAUGUGUGUGUGUGCAUUUACAUGCAUGGGAGUAGGUAUGCAAUUAUACAUUCAUAUAGGAAUGUACAAAAAAUUCACAUACAAAUGCAUACAUAAUGUGUGUGUGAGUGUAUAUAUGUAUGUAUAUAAAUUUAUAUAUUUUUGUUUUAUUUUUAAUACGUGUAGGUUAUUUUUGUUUUUUGCAUUUCAAAAUUGUUUUAUAUAUGUUUUCAUAUACAUUUUGUAUCUUCAAAAUGCUUUAUUUUAUCCAUUUUAUUGUGUUGAAGAUUUUAAUUUUUUAUUUUGAGGAGUGAAUGGACAAAAUGAGAAUUUUAUUAACUGUCAAUCAUCUAGUGAGAAUAUUGUAUAUUUUACACUAAAAUUUAAUUUUUAAAAAAUUUUGUUUCUUGAGAAAAUAUUUAUUUUUAUCUUUUGAAAUUAUUUGUUAAUUGCUGUACUAUAACAAGCUCACUUCAUAUCAACCUCGAUAUUUUAUCCUUUUAUUAUUAAUAAAAAAAAGUUUGGAAGUUUUUUUUCUAACUUGUAGGUAAUGUAUGAAGACUAAUGAGUGGAAAAAGAAUCAUUCUCCACGUCCAUGGUAUAUUUAUUAUAUUUUGAAAUCAUAAUAAAUGUACUACCUCCUUCCUAUGUGGUGUAAAUUUUCACUUGGGUUUUUUUUCCUUGAUUUCUAGGAUUAUAUUUUAAUUGUUUUUUUCAUAUCAUUGACAAUUGGUUGUGUUAUGUUCCUUUUGAAUCAUUUA
RNAcentral lists this long non-coding RNA (7966 nucleotides) under Octopus vulgaris (common octopus). The record is from RNAcentral. Lineage: Eukaryota; Metazoa; Mollusca; Cephalopoda; Octopoda; Octopodidae.